CAAAUGUAGUGGUAUUGAAGGACAGGGGAAAAAAGAAAAAGAAAAAAAUACUUAGCUUUAGCUCUCAAAGGGUGAACGGCCGACAAGGCCCGGUCCUAGGCAAUCGGUGAAUAUUCCUGAUCAAUAAAGUGCAAAAAACCUCCUAGAGGAAAAAGCACUUUUUUGCAGUCUCUUUCUGCACUGUACAAUGGAAUCUUAUACGUUUUUUCACUAUACACUGUCCAAUGUAUUUGUUAACAAUAUAGCAGCAGCACCCAACUGGGUGCUGGCUAACGGUACCACACAGUGCUUCUUUACACAGCUCACAAUUGACCUUGAAGACGGAUUAAUUCGAACUAUCACUCGACCGCACUGAUUCAGACAAUAGAAUACGAAAUGACCUUGAUAGCGGAAUAAAACAAUUUACCGCACCACUGGAGAAACCCAAACUUGCGUCCGAUCAGCCCGAUAGUUGCAGUGGAACUGUGAUUCAGGUACCAUGAUGGUUCUUGUUAUCAAUCGAAAAUUCACCAUGGAUGAUACUUUGGAGUUUUUGAAUAAAGGUUAGCUUGUUGGAUUCUCAUAAUAUGGAACGACAAAUUUCUCUGGAAGCAUUUUGUGGUCUGCUGUCUAAAACAACCCAUUCUGACAAUGAAAAUAUCAAAUCACCCCAGGUUAUCACGGCUUCUAAUGGUUUGUAUGGAAAGUUACAUCGCAGAUAUUAUUACGAUGAUGCCCACCAGCUGCCGCAUGGUAAUGUGGUAAGCAAUAUCGUCUAACAAACAGCGUUCAAGAACGAUUUUCUUACAAAAACUACCUGCAGCCGUACUAACACAACGAAAGUAGUUUUCAUCAAUCUAUAUUUCUGCAUAUAAUUAGGAUUAACAAAUGAAAUUGAAAAUUAUAUUGCUUGUUAACAUAACUCCCCCGGAAAUGCAUAAUCGAUUAGUUCCAA
Malaya genurostris is the source of this 934-nucleotide long non-coding RNA. RefSeq lists it as uncharacterized. The transcript is spliced from 2 exons. The record is from RefSeq and is a predicted model, not a curated record. NCBI's taxonomy places the organism in Eukaryota, Metazoa, Arthropoda, Insecta, Diptera, Culicidae.